ACUGACUGGAGGCAGAUGAUGAAUUUGAAGCCCUGACAAAGAGAAGGCAAAAUCAGUUUGUGUCCCUGAGUUGCUAAGUGGAGAAGAAACGUCCACCAACCAGGAAACACCUGCCUCCAACUGUUAAGUGAGCAAGAAAUAAACUUCUGUUGUGUUUGAGCUAUUACACAUUUUCUGAUCUAUUUGUCUACAGGUUAAUUUAUGUUUAAAUAUGUUUUAAACUGCCACUGAACUGACUUAGUCACAUAUUUAAACUUUGCAGUAGGUCUGUGAAAUGUGCUUUGUUUCUGGUCAGCAUGGACACCCGCUUUAAUAGUGGCUUCAGAUGAGGCACCUUGUGACAGAGGAGCUCUUCCCCUGCAGCAACCUUGAAGAUGUUGUGGAAGACAAUAGCCAUUCUUACUUCACUCUGAGGAUCACGAUGGCGUGCAAGGGUGUGCCAAGCACAUUGCUAUCUUUGGCCAUUCUCUCUCACAUUAGUACACCUGGAUGUGAAUGGCACGUUAUCUAUGUAAGCAGUGAUGGUCUCUAUCUGGUGGUAGAAAUGACAGAAUUACACACAAUCAGGACAGCUGAGAUUCCAUUUACUAGCUCAGUAAUCAGAGAAUAUGUAUGACAUCCCAGCAAAAAAUGUUGAACAUGUUCAGAUUUCAUCAUAUCAGCACCACAGUAUCAGUCUUACUGGGAGGUGCUCGCAUUCAGUUCCUGGCUACUGAAGAAAUUUUGCAGGAGUUCCAGAUAACUUACUUGUCCCAUAAUAAUGAAAACUAUUACAAUUAUGCUAAAGAAGAAUACUUAAUAACACAGUAAAAAUGUUUAUGAUGUCUUUUAAUUUCUAAAGCAUGUUAUAAAAGUAUUACAGUAUGAUCUCAUAUUUGUAAGUAAAAUAUAUAUUAAUUCAUUUAGCAAAUAAAUAUUAAGCCCCUACUAUGCACAUACCAAUAUAGAUAUUGGUAUUUGUGUGGGUGUGUGUUACAGCAGAUUUUAAUUUUCUUAUUUUGUAUUUUCUGAUUUAUCUACAAUGAAUUUGUAUUAAUUUGCUAACAAAACAUCACUAUUAAAAUAAAUUUUUUUUGAAUUAUAAGAAAAGGCUAACAUCAUAACAAUAAGGUUGUAUAGAAUAAACUGACAACACAGAAGUUAUUUUGGCCCUGUGUUCCACAGUGACUCACCAAAUAUACCCUGCACUGUUUAUUUUAUUUUUUUCUAUUUCACUAUUGAAAUGAACAGAUGCAUUUCACGUCACAUGGAUCUCGUGGAAACAUGCCAAACAUUUUCUUAGCAACCAAACUCCUGUCUUCUGCACUGUGCAUGAUUAACUAAAACAGCCUGUUGACGGCUUAAAAUAAACCUGCCUUUUCCAUUUAGCAUUUUAUCAAAUGAAUAUAAUUUCAUUUGCUGAUGAAUUUAGUUCAGCUUCAAGAGAAUUUUUCUUUUCUUCAUGGGGAGGCUGAAGAAUCAGAACUGUCAUACCAAAGAAUGAAAAGCAAGCCUAGGGAGAACAAGACAGUCUGAUGUUUACAUGGGUAAAGUAAAAGUAUCUUUGUCAAUAUUACCAGCACUCUCCCUCACCCUCUGUUUUAUAGGGUGGAAUGUUGAUUUUAGUUCUGCUUUUGCAUUAUGGUGUUUACGUUGCUUGAUUACAAGCAUUAAUUUAAAUGACUGCUGUGGGGAUUACUAUUGUUAUUAUACGUGAGCUCUUGUCUUACUUUUGUUUAUUUCUAGCACUUGAGUAUGCCCUAAAAUUUAAUUAGAUUCAUCUCUUAGGAUAGUAGACCCUUUGCUGGGGUUCAAAAGUAAAGGGACAAAUGGUAUAAUCCGUCAAGGGAGGAGGGAGGUAUAUUAUCAGCAAUGAGGAGAGUCAAUGUUUUCUUAGAGGAUGUGACUCUGCAACUUGGAAUGAAUUGAUAUUCUGUUUGAUGAAUAUAAAAUAUAUCUCUGUGUCUAUAUGUACAUGUAGACACUUUGCAUCCAAAGACUAUAGGGAUAUUUGCUAAAUAAGGAAGAUUUAAAGUUUCUUUAAAGACAGCUUAAAAACAAAGUCAUCUAUGCAGUUAAACCAGCAUGUAUCUACAGAAUCAAUGAGAGGAAGAGGGUUGGACUGAAUAUUAUAUAGUCCAUGCGAUUUCCCCACUAUCUUUUACUUGUGUCCUCAUUUGGAAAUAGUGAAAAACAGCACUAAUGGCAAAUUGCAACACUAUUUAAAUUUCCACCUUAUUUCCCCCAGAGCAAAUUCUUAAAUGUUAAUCAUCAUCAGGCAGUCAAGUAGACACUUUAGCUGCACAUAGUUUUAUAUUUUUCCUGGGGAAUAAAGGCACAACAAAUAUAAAACAUAUUCCUGAUAAAUCCACUCUUUCUGAUUGCUGCUCUGUUUACAUUUUGAGAAAUAAUCUUGAUGUAUUGCCUUUAACAUUAGACAUAAUCAAUAUAAGAUUGAUAGACAUUUUACAUUAAACAUUGUAAAAAUAGCUGCUCCCACAUUUAAUAUUCUUCUGCUACAAGUCUGAAUUCUUCAUUACUUAAGCGAGGUUAUGAUGCUAUUCAGCUACUUUGGAAAAUGUCACUAUCUUCUUCAGGUUUGUUUUUGAAAGUGUAUUAACAUUUUCAAAACCUGAUUUCUAAGUUGAGAAAAAUCCAACUGAAAGAUGUCACAAUGACUAUUUGAGACUAAUCCUACUGACGGCAUUACUUCCUUUAUGGAGGUAAGACUUGAUAACUAGCAUUCUCUCCCACUAGCCUACAGAGAAGAUUCCCUAAAACAAUACUGGGAGCUUCUUGCAGGUGCUUAGAGUUUUAUUAAUUACACUCAGCUGGGCCGAGGGAAACUAGAGAUGAAAUCUAGGAAAUAUUCCAGAGUCUGGCAUGUGAGCAAUCAUAAGCAGUUCAUGGAAACCUCAGAGUGUCUCAGCUUUCCUGCUUUAUAUUCAUUAAUUUCCUUUUCUCAUAUUAAUAAAGGUCAAUGCUGUUAGUGCCUAUCUUAUCCAUAGAAAGGAGCUUGAUCUUGAACUAAUUCCAUUAUAUUCUAUUUUUUAAUAGAAAACUAAAAUCUUACAUUUGGGGAUGGCUUUGUUGUCAGUAUGCUUGGUACAGCUUUGUCUUUUUCUAGUGAAUAGCCCUUUACUUUAUUCCAAAAGAUCGUAUGCUUCUUAGAAGCAUUUUUAUUCUUUAGUUAAAAUUACAUUUUACUUUUAAAACUCAAUUUAAAAAUCAGCAGUUAUUUAUUGAUGGCAUGAUAUUAGUUGCUAUACUAAAUCCUAUAGAUGAAUUAAUUCUCACACUGACACUAGGAAGUAGAAUCAGGUCUUUCUGAUGCUCUAUAAUAAAGUGAAAAAGAACACACCACACCCACAUUAAGAAUAGAUUAAAUGUCUUAGUUAAUUAGCCAAGGAAAAAGAAAUCUCUCCAAGGCAGGACCAAUAUGGCCUGACUAACAAGGAUUUCCCUGGUCUCUGCUCCCUGAGAAAGUCCACCAGGAAGGUCAUAUCCACAGAUAGUAAAGACCAUCAGUGUCUAAAUGUCCCUGAUAGUAGACCUACCUCCAGCUUUCCAGGCUUCCCAAAUAAUUACGUCUUCACAACCCAAAUUAUUUUCCAAAUCCCGUGUUCUUAUAAUUACAGCAGAUUUCAGAACAUUAUACCUUUGCAGUGGUGUUCCUUAAAAAUGAGGUACAUAAAUUCCUUUAAUUCUAUAGUGAAAUAAAAAUAUAGUUCAUUUACAAUUUAAGGACUGGGGCAACUAAAAUCUGGCCAUUUGAAUAACUAAUUUCUGGUAAAAAGAAGAGGAACUAAAGUAUAGAGAUUGGUUAAUAUAGUAUUGGAAAUUGUCAGGAUAAUUUGGGAAUAGUUCUUUUUAGAUCAAUGGAUGGAUUCAAUAAGAACAUCUUUGACUUAUGAUUCUAAAAUGUGGUACUAUAUUUUUGCAAAUUUCAUCUUGAGGAAAUACUUUUCUGUAAGAUUUUCUCCCUAAAGCUAGAUUAGAUCUCCAGUGGGAGUACCCGUACUCCCUGGAAGUCUGGAACAAAACAGGCAAUAAUUUCUCAGCUCUGCAAUGGUAUACAAUGGUUGCCUAAACAAAAAAGGGCAAAGUUGUCUGGUACUUGCAUAAAUAGAUAACUAGAAAGAUAUAGACAUGGGUAUGCAUGGGUGUGUGUGUGUAUAUGUGUAUGUGUGUGCAUACAAUUAAGAAGCCUAUAUGUAUAUGGAUAUAAGCUUAUAGAUAUACAUACAUAUAAGCUUCUUAGUUCCAAAUAUAGUAACAUAAAGAAUACUUAAGUUAUUAGGAAAAGAUACUCUUUCAAUGCAGGCUCUAGGGUGCACUAAUUCAGUUGUUACUAUCCAUAUGUGGGGCUAUAUAAAUUUAAAUGUAAAUUAAUUAAAUGUAAAUUAAUUUAAAAUUCAUCUUCAGAGCUGCACUAGCCACAUUUCAAGUACUCCACAUAUGGCUAGUAGCUACCAUAUCAGAUAGCACAGACGUAGAAUCCUUCCAUCAUUGCGGGAAGUUCUAUUGGACAGUGUUGGUCCAGAAGUUAAGGAAAUAUUUUUAAAAUGCAUUUAAUAAGGGCUUGUUAGUCUUAUCCUUUCAAUAAAGUC
Molecule: long non-coding RNA, 4589 nt
Organism: Homo sapiens (human)
Lineage: Eukaryota; Metazoa; Chordata; Mammalia; Primates; Hominidae
Source: Ensembl